ACUCACCGAAACAAAACUUCACCUUUGUCCGACCAAAACAGUAACAAAAAAAAAGGAUUAAUAUUUGUCGGGAAUUUCUUUAACCUUCCUCGACCACAUCAUCAUCAUCAAAUCCAAUAGAACCAUCAAACAACAUUCAAUUUCAUCAAGAACUUACCGAAUCUAAUAGAUUUUCAGGUUCUUGCAAAGUCGGAUCGAUUGCUCACGAUCCACGUCCAAAGCCAAGCUCACCAUCGUUGAUCAGAUUAACAAUGAAGUCAACAGUGACAAAAAUUUAUUGGUGUAAAUCACAAUAUGAAGCAAAGAAAGAGAAGGAUGUGCAAGCUCAUGCCAUUAUGUUCAAAUAGAGGGCUUAAUAUCAGAGACAUGAGUGAUACCAUCAUUGGCGGCCAUCUCUACUAUUAAGGCAUAUGUAGAAGAAUCUGUUUGGAAACGACUGUUCCUUAAACAUGAUCCGAAUAAGGUUAUACCUGACGAUUCAGGAUCCGUGUCUCUUGGCUUUAUACUUUUACCACUUUGUCCUCGUUCAGUUUUUUUUCUUCUUUUUUGGUUUUUCAAUCGUAGGGUAGUACAUGUCAUGUUUAGUUUUUGGUUUUUUUUUUUAUCCCUAAGUGUGCUCCCUAAUUAAUAGUAUAGAUGUUGUUUUUCUUUUUAGUUUUAAAUAGAGGGAAAUUUGGGUUUUACUUCAUGUUAGUUAUUUACUCUUAACAAAACUAAUGUGUGCUAUAAGCAGAGAGAUCAUUUAAAGACAUA
This is a long non-coding RNA of Camelina sativa (false flax), 753 nucleotides long. RefSeq lists it as uncharacterized. Lineage: Eukaryota; Viridiplantae; Streptophyta; Magnoliopsida; Brassicales; Brassicaceae. The record is from RefSeq and is a predicted model, not a curated record.